This 843-nucleotide ribosomal RNA is filed under the name Triticum aestivum (bread wheat). RNAcentral's name for it is "partial small subunit ribosomal RNA". Lineage: Eukaryota; Viridiplantae; Streptophyta; Magnoliopsida; Poales; Poaceae. The record is from RNAcentral.
AUGCGCCAGCUAAGGCUCGUCACCAACAUGAGGGCUCAUAAUGAUAGCUGGUUUGCGGAUUACUUGCUAAGGGUAGGCAAUGGCACCGAGGAAGUUGAUGAUCAAGGGAACAUACGACUCCCUGAAGAUAUUUGUGUGCCGUCUACAGGCGAGGGUGAUGACCUAGAGAAGCUGAUUGACCAUGUGUUUCGGAGACUAGAUGACAACAUGUCCGAUCCGAAUUACAUGACUUCACGCGCAAUCCUCUCCACCACGAACGACAAUGUUGACAAGAUAAACAUACGCAUGGUAGAGCGUUUUCGGGGAGAAGUAAUCUACCAUAGCUUUGACAGUGCAGAAGACGACCCGUAUGGCUACUACGCUCCCGAGUUCCUAAAUGGAUUGACUCCCAACGGUCUGCCUCUGCAUGCACUCAAAUUUAAGCUCAACUACCCUGUCAUACUUCUGAGGAAUAUUGAUCCGGCUAAUGGUUUGUGUAACGGGACGAGGCUUGUGGUGCGAGGUUUUGAGAGGAACGCCAUCGACGCAGAAAUCGUGAUCGGACAACACGCAGGUAGGAGGGUAUUCCUUCCUCGAAUACCCCUAUGCCCGUCUGACAACGACAUGUUUCCAUUCAAGUUCAAGAGGAAGCAAUUUCCUGUAAGGCUUAGCUUUGCUAUGACGAUUAACAAGGCUCAAGGCCAGACGAUUCCGAUUGUUGGCGUGUACCUACCUAAUCAGGUGUUCUCUCAUGGUCAACCCUAUGUCGCAUUGUCUCGAGCAACCGCAAAGAGAAAUAUAAAGAUCCUCAUUGAGAAGGAGAAGGAGAAUGCCAAGAAGCAAAGCGGUAAAUCUAAGAAGUGA